Molecule: transfer RNA, 88 nt
Filed under: soil metagenome
Also listed under: 1 other name
Rfam family: tRNA
About the family: Transfer RNA (tRNA) molecules are approximately 80 nucleotides in length.
Source: RNAcentral
GGAGAGGUGGCAGAGCUGGUUGAAUGCGGCAGACUCGAAAUCUGUUAUGGCGGCAACGUCAUCGGGGGUUCGAAUCCCCCCCUCUCCG